Molecule: ribosomal RNA, 334 nt
Filed under: uncultured eukaryote
Lineage: Eukaryota
Description: partial 18S ribosomal RNA
Rfam family: Eukaryotic small subunit ribosomal RNA
Source: RNAcentral
CCCUUAGAUGUCCGGGGCCGCACGCGCGCUACACUGAAGGAAUCAGCGUGGCUUUCUCCCUGACCCGAAAGGGUUGGGAAACCCGUUGAAUCUCCUUCGUGAUAGGGAUUGGGGCUUGAAAUUGUUCCCCAUGAACGAGGAAUUCCCAGUAAGCGCGAGUCAUAAGCUCGCGUUGUUUACGUCCCUGCCCUUUGUACACACCGCCCGUCGCUACUACCGAUUGAACGGUUUAGUGAGGGCCUCGGAUUGGUCUCGGCCCGCUCUUUACCGGGCGGCGCCGUUGGUCGAGAAGACGCUCGAACUUGAUCGUUUAGAGGAAGUAAAAGUCGUAACA